GUCCCCUGUUUUGGGGCGCGGCUGCGCUUGGGAAGGGAGCGGGGGAGGCCCCGGCAAUGCGCGGCCCGCAGCAGGUUCCCCCGCGGCUGCUGAGGCCGUGACUCCGGCGCGGGCGGUGUGUCCCCGCCGGGAGCGGGCGGAGGACAGAAGCAAGGAGUUAAAUGCUGAUUGAAACAGGUCCAGUCAGACACCUCUAUGGAAGAAUUUUGCAAGACAGAUGCGAAGUCCCUAGAAUAUAAAUCUGCACAGUGAAGUGCUUGAAAGGACGGCUCAUACUUUACUGUGUGCCACUGUGAAGGAGAGAAACUGGAUUGCCUGCAUACAAGUGCUCCUGUAACUGUCAGGCUCCUGGCAGCUCGUAUCUCCUGAAUCCUAAGAAGUUUGCUAGAUGUCCAUUCUAUGAUUUCUGUGAUUCUGUGUUUUGAUGGUACCUGCUCCUACAGUGGAAGGGUCAUUGUGGUCACACUGCUGAAUUGGAAGGUACCAAAAUCCUGGAGAAAGAUUCAUCAGCCGAAUCUACACUGGUAUGAUUCAGAGGACUCGGGCACUGCUAGGCAGAGCUCUUAAAACUGAAUUGUCAGCAUAUUACCUGGCAGUUUUGGAAUGUGACUCUUGGCAACCACUCAGAGGGUACCUGGACAUGGAUUGGAGGAUGUCAUGGAGCAGGGACCAUUUAUUUUCCCAAAGGCAGUUUUACAUCAUCACUCCUGGGGGAAGAAGAAAAUGUAGUUCUGUGAUGCAAGCUGGGACACUCUAACUUCAGAACCCAAAGAACAACUUCUGUCCCAGACAAGCUGACUUGAGGAUUUCCUUUGUCAUCCCUUCUGCAGCUUCCUCAUCCACUUUCAGAGGUACAAGAUGUACAUCUGCCAGUUCCCCAGUCUUCACAGAGGUAUUUCUACUGUCUUGACAGAUGAUAAUUUGACACAACGAGAUCUCCAAGUUAAAGGUGAGGACAUGACCGAAUAAUUGGUUUUCCCCACAAACACGUGUCCUCUUGUCUUGACAGCAUUUAUUAUUUUACAAAUAAAGAGUAUUUCUCCAA
Molecule: long non-coding RNA, 1045 nt
Organism: Melopsittacus undulatus (budgerigar)
Lineage: Eukaryota; Metazoa; Chordata; Aves; Psittaciformes; Psittaculidae
Exons: 3
Source: RefSeq, a predicted model, not a curated record